CCUACGAAGGUAGGGAUAACCGUAACGGAGUCACUCAAAGGUAAACCGGUAACUGGGGCU
This 60-nucleotide ribosomal RNA is filed under the name uncultured bacterium. RNAcentral's name for it is "partial 16S ribosomal RNA". The record is from RNAcentral.